RNAcentral lists this ribosomal RNA (500 nucleotides) under uncultured bacterium. Its description in RNAcentral is "partial 16S ribosomal RNA". It matches the Rfam family "Bacterial small subunit ribosomal RNA", at positions 30 to 523 of the family's 1533-position model. The record is from RNAcentral.
AUUGAACGCUGGCGGCAGGCUUAACACAUGCAAGUCGAGCGGGGGAAGGUAGCUUGCUACCGGACCUAGCGGCGGACGGGUGAGUAAUGCUUAGGAAUCUGCCUAUUAGUGGGGGACAACAUCUCGAAAGGGAUGCUAAUACCACAUACGUCCUACGGGAGAAAGCAGGGGAUCUUCGGACCGUGCGCUAAUAGAUGAGCCUAAGUCGGAUUAGCUAGUUGGUGGGUAAAGGCCUACCAAGGCGACGAUCUGUAGCGGGUCUGAGAGGAUGAUACGCCACGCUGGGACUUAGGCACGGCCCAGACUCCUACGGGAGGCAGCAGUGGGGAAUAUUGGACAAGGGGGGGAACCCUGAUCCAGCCAUGCUGCGUGUGUGAAGAAGGCCUUAUGGUUGUAAAGCACUUUAAGCGAGGAGGAGGCUACUCUAGUUAAUACCUAGGGAUAGUGGACGUUACUCGCAGAAUAAGCACCGGCUAACUCUGUGCCAGCCGCCGCGGUAA